This 497-nucleotide ribosomal RNA is filed under the name uncultured bacterium. RNAcentral describes it as "partial 16S ribosomal RNA". It matches the Rfam family "Bacterial small subunit ribosomal RNA", at positions 28 to 507 of the family's 1533-position model. The record is from RNAcentral.
GAUGAACGCUGGCGGCGUGCCUAAUACAUGCAAGUCGAGCGAACAGACGAGGAGCUUGCUCCUCUGACGUUAGCGGCGGACGGGUGAGUAACACGUGGAUAACCUACCUAUAAGACUGGGAUAACUUCGGGAAACCGGAGCUAAUACCGGAUAAUAUAUUGAACCGCAUGGUUCAAUAGUGAAAGACGGUUUUGCUGUCACUUAUAGAUGGAUCCGCGCCGCAUUAGCUAGUUGGUAAGGUAACGGCUUACCAAGGCAACGAUGCGUAGCCGACCUGAGAGGGUGAUCGGCCACACUGGAACUGAGACACGGUCCAGACUCCUACGGGAGGCCGCAGUAGGGAAUCUUCCGCAAGGGGCGAAAGCUUGACGGAGCAACGCCGCGUGAGUGAUGAAGGUCUCCGGAUCGUAAAACUCUGUUAUUAGGGAAGAACAAAUGUGUAAGUAACUAUGCACGUCUUGACGGUACCUAAUCAGAAAGCCACGGCUAACUACGUG